Molecule: ribosomal RNA, 504 nt
Filed under: uncultured bacterium
Lineage: Bacteria
Description: partial 16S ribosomal RNA
Rfam family: Bacterial small subunit ribosomal RNA
Source: RNAcentral
AUUGAACGCUGGCGGCAGGCCUAACACAUGCAAGUCGAACGGUAGCACAGAGAGCUUGCUCUCGGGUGACGAGUGGCGGACGGGUGAGUAACGUCUGGGAAACUGCCCGAUGGAGGGGGAUAACUACUGGAAACGGUAGCUAAUACCGCAUAACGUCGCAAGACCAAAGUGGGGGACCUUCGGGCCUCACACCAUCGGAUGUGCCCAGAUGGGAUUAGCUAGUAGGUGGGGUAAUGGCUAGCCUAGGCGACGAUCCCUAGCUGGUCUGAGAGGAUGACCAGCCACACUGGAACUGAGACACGGUCCAGACUCCUACGGGAGGCAGCAGUGGGGAAUAUUGCACAAUGGGCGCAAGCCUGAUGCAGCCAUGCCGCGUGUAUGAAGAAGGCCUUCGGGUUGUAAAGUACUUUCAGAGGGGAGGAAGGCGGUGAAGUUAAUAGCUUCACCGAUUGACGUUACCCGCAGAAGAAGCACCGGCUAACUCCGUGCCAGCAGCCGCAGUAA